UACGGAGGGUGCGAGCGUUAUCCGGAUUCACUGGGUUUAAAGGGUGCGUAGGUGGGAAUGUAAGUCAGUGGUGAAAUCUCCGUGCUUAACACGGAAACUGCCAUUGAUACUAUGUUUCUUGAAUUUUCUGGAGGUUAGCGGAAUAUGUCAUGUAGCGGUGAAAUGCUUAGAUAUGACAUAGAACACCGAUUGCGAAGGCAGCUAACUACAGGGAUAUUGACACUGAGGCACGCAAGCGUGGGGAUCAAACAGG
RNAcentral lists this ribosomal RNA (253 nucleotides) under uncultured bacterium. RNAcentral describes it as "partial 16S ribosomal RNA". It matches the Rfam family "Bacterial small subunit ribosomal RNA", at positions 524 to 776 of the family's 1533-position model. The record is from RNAcentral.